GACGAACGCUGGCGGCGUGCUUAACACAUGCAAGUCGAACGGAAAGGCCCUGCUUUUGUGGGGUGCUCGAGUGGCGAACGGGUGAGUAACACGUGAGUAACCUGCCCUUGACUUUGGGAUAACUUCAGGAAACUGGGGCUAAUACCGGAUAGGAGCUCCUGCUGCAUGGUGGGGGUUGGAAAGUUUCGGCGGUUGGGGAUGGACUCGCGGCUCAUCAGCUCGUUGGUGGGGUAGUGGCUUACCAAGGCCUUGACGGGUAGCCGGCCUGGGCGGGUGACCGGCCACAUUGGGGCUGAGAUACGGCCCAGACUCCUACGGGAGGCAGCAGUGGGGAAUAUUGCACAAUGGGCGGAAGCCUGAUGCAGCAACGCCGCGUGCGGGAUGACGGCCUUCGGGUUGUAGACCGCUUUCGCCUGUGACGAAGCGUGAGUGACGGUAAUGGGUAAAGAAGCACCGGCUAACUACGUG
This 468-nucleotide ribosomal RNA is filed under the name uncultured bacterium. RNAcentral's name for it is "partial 16S ribosomal RNA". It matches the Rfam family "Bacterial small subunit ribosomal RNA", at positions 28 to 507 of the family's 1533-position model. The record is from RNAcentral.